AAAUUGAAGAGUUUGAUCAUGGCUCAGAUUGAACGCUGGCGGCAGGCCUAACACAUGCAAGUCGAACGGUAACAGGAAACAGCUUGCUGUUUCGCUGACGAGUGGCGGACGGGUGAGUAAUGUCUGGGAAACUGCCUGAUGGAGGGGGAUAACUACUGGAAACGGUAGCUAAUACCGCAUAAUGUCGCAAGACUAAAGAGGGGGACCUUCGGGCCUCUUGCCAUCGGAUGUGCCCAGAUGGGAUUAGCUAGUAGGUGGGGUAACGGCUCACCUAGGCGACGAUCCCUAGCUGGUCUGAGAG
This 301-nucleotide ribosomal RNA is filed under the name Shigella sonnei. RNAcentral describes it as "partial 16S ribosomal RNA". It matches the Rfam family "Bacterial small subunit ribosomal RNA", at positions 1 to 298 of the family's 1533-position model. The record is from RNAcentral. Lineage: Bacteria; Pseudomonadati; Pseudomonadota; Gammaproteobacteria; Enterobacterales; Enterobacteriaceae.